UACGGAGGGUGCAAGCGUUAUCCGGAUUCACUGGGCGUAAAGGGCGCGUAGGCGGCCUGUUAAGUCGAACGUGAAAUCCCCGGGCUCAACCCGGGAACUGCGUCCGAUACUGGCAGGCUUGAAUCCGGGAGAGGGAUGCGGAAUUCCAGGUGUAGCGGUGAAAUGCGUAGAUAUCUGGAGGAACACCGGUGGCGAAGGCGGCAUCCUGGACCGGCAUUGACGCUGAGGCGCGAAAGCCAGGGGAGCAAAGCGGG
RNAcentral lists this ribosomal RNA (254 nucleotides) under uncultured bacterium. RNAcentral's name for it is "partial 16S ribosomal RNA". It matches the Rfam family "Bacterial small subunit ribosomal RNA", at positions 524 to 777 of the family's 1533-position model. The record is from RNAcentral.